This 1777-nucleotide long non-coding RNA is filed under the name Apteryx rowi (Okarito brown kiwi). RNAcentral describes it as "lncRNA (ENSARWG00000002269.1)". The record is from RNAcentral. Lineage: Eukaryota; Metazoa; Chordata; Aves; Apterygiformes; Apterygidae.
CUGCGCCAUCGUGCUAAUAUACUUUUUGGCUAGUCUCCAGCAUGUGCAUUUGCAAGCCGCCUCCCCAAAUUUCUGUUGAGCACACUAGGCAAAAACGAAAAAGAAAAAAAGGGAAAAUCCUAUUUCUGAUAAUCGUGCCCCAUGUCGCAGAUCGUUUUUCAGAAGGAAGUUAAAGCCCUACGUUUGCUCCUGUGCCGUCUCCCUCCGGAGCAGCCCGCGGAGCCGUUGCGCUGCAGCCUGUGCUGCAGAGCCCGCGCACCGGGACAUGUCCCCUGCGGACUCGAGGCCCGGCGCGGCGCCGGGAAAGGUGCCCUCGCGCAACGCCGCUGCUGCCCUGCGCUGCCGUCUGGCCCAGGCGCUGCUGGCAGCGUUUUGCGUGAUUUGGCCUGGAUGGAAAAGGCUGUGCAGGGCGCAAGGCAGCGGAGAGCUGGGCUCUGUGAAAGGCUGGAGCAGAGGUGCUCUGCCGAAGAAGAGAAAAGCUUUUCCAAGAGCAGAGUUUUCGGCGGCGAGAGUUGCUGGUGUAGAGAAAGCAGCCUGGGUUUGGUGCUGAGCGUGCGUCCUGCCGGUGAGGCAGCAGAUGCUGGGGCAGGAAUGAUGCGCCUGGAUGAGGAAACUUUCCUUAGGGCAGUGCAUUCUUUGAAAUAUAAAACAGUGCUUUUCAAGCCUGACCGAGGACAAAAGACAAUAAAAAUGUACAACCAGCAAGCCUGCGACUGCCAAAUAGGGCUCCAGGGGCUGGGCUGCCAGAGAUACUUAUUCACUCUACCCAAAAAAUAAAGUCGGAGUGGUGCGUGUCUAACCCUAGGGAGCCCAUUAGGAAUGUUCUCCUCCUGGCAAACCCAGCUGGGCAUAAAACGAGCCCUUUUGUCUGAAGGAGUCACUGGAGGGGCUGCAUAACGGGAGAAUCGCUAUAGCUGUGCCGCUGAGAAAGCCCAGACAGAGACCUUGUGACAACAGGAAAUAUGUUUUAGAAGCUCAGCAAUGAAUGCAGCUGAUUGCAAAUAACAGACUAUUUCAGCAAGAACUAGGGGCAGUUCAGCCAAAGCCCUAAGCCUGGAGUGGUGCCCUGGGAUGUUGCUAGUUUUAUCCUAACUUAAGUGUGAUAAUAAGAUCACAGCACUAUGCAAAUUCAUAACCUUUAGUAUGUUUGUAAACAAGUCACUCUUUACCUUCAAACAGACUUGCUCUUAUUACUCAAAAUAGUGCUACUCCGUCCUGCUGAACAAUCAUCCCUAUUUAGUUAAUAGCGUCGUACCGCAUCCAUAUUUUUGUUCCGUGUUUAAAAUUAAGCAAUCAACAUUUCUCAUAAGUCCUAAUGACUAAUUAUUUGAUAGCAUGUUCUAUGAAAGAUUGCUGCACAUAUGAUGUACACUUUCUUUUAGCUUCCGCUGUUUAUAAAUAUUUAUCGCUGAACAUUGUAAAUACAAAAGCGGCUGGUACUUCCAGCAGUGAAAAUACCGAUUGUUGUUUGCAUAUAUGCAAAAUGAAUGUCUCUGCAGGCAUUUUUUUAAAGGAGGAGAAAACCUCCAGAAUAGACAAUAUGAAGUAUUUCUCUCCCAAGGGAAAAUUCUCCUUCUUGCAAAAGCCCCUCUUCCAGCCCCGUCUCCCAUGGGUGCCGUGCUGCCCGGCCCUGCUGGAAUUGCAGCUGCUGCUGAGGCGGUUCAGCUCCGAGGGAGAGUGUGCGUAGGGGGAAAUUCAGGCUGGGACCUCCUGUGGUCUACAGGGAUAGUUUUCAAUGCAUUUGCAAGCCAAAGAUCAGUUUACUUUUUUGAAAAGA